UCCCGACACAGCCGGGCCCUGAGGGCUCCUGUCACCACCUUCAUCCACACGCGGCGACACGCGUCUUUAAACCAGACAGGUACGGACUGCGUUCAGUGUUCGGAAUGCGAGCUCCGCAUUUUUCUUCUCUUCUGGAUUCAAAGACACAAGUGACACGUGGUCGAAGAUGCUCGAGGCUGCGGUGAAGACUUCAGCGCCAGCCACGGAAACAGUGAAAUUUUACUGGUGCCCCAAAGGGCCGACGCCCCAGGGAGGACAGCACUGGGGGAACUUUAAUACAAACUGUUUUAAGUUGAAAGAAAAGCCACGCCACGUGAAUGCCGCCAUUUCCGCUGUAGGAGGGCGGAGGGGCACGUCUGUGGAAUGAAUGCAAGCGCGGCCCUGGCUGGGCUCACGCAGCCAGCGUCCGUCAGCCAGGACGGCCGCGUCCCGGGGAUUCCCACCUGCAGUCCAUGGAGCUGUCACCAAAAACGCUGCCGAGCGAGGCAGGAGGAAAGAGCUCCUUCUGCUGGACUGCUGUCCCUCAGUCAGCUGGGAUUCAGAGGUGACCCUUUCGCUGCAGAUGAGGAUCAACGGGUCCAUGAAAAGACGCUCGGCAUCACGUGGCCUCAGGGAAACGCACACCAAGCCACAGCGAAGAGCCACCUCACUCCCCUCGGGACGGCUUGCAUCAAACGACCAGAAGCGACGGGUGCCGGCGGGCGUACAGGCUGGUGCAGCCACUGUGGGAAACUGUACAGAGGUUCCUGAAAAUAUGAAAACUAGAGCUGCCCUAGGAUCUUGAAAUAGCACUUCUGGGUGCUUAGCCAAGAACAUGCAAACAUUAACCCAGAAAGAGAGAAGCGUCCUCGUGUUUCUUGGAGCAUUAUUUACUGUAGAGAUACGAUAAGAGACUGUGGGGAAAAAUAGAGAUACCGCCCAAGUGUCCCUUAGCCAGUGACUGGAGAAAGUGUAGUGACGUCCGCACCCAGGCGAGUGCUGCUCGGCCGUGAAAAUAAUGAAAUCUUGCCAUUUGCGACAAGGUGGAUGGACCUCAAGGACAUUACGUUAAGUGAAACAAGUCAGAC
Mustela erminea (ermine) is the source of this 1067-nucleotide long non-coding RNA. RefSeq lists it as uncharacterized. The transcript has 2 exons. The record is from RefSeq and is a predicted model, not a curated record. NCBI's taxonomy places the organism in Eukaryota, Metazoa, Chordata, Mammalia, Carnivora, Mustelidae.